UAGUGGAUGGGAUGAAGGGUUGGAUGAAGGAUGAACUGUCUUUUUAAUAAGCGAUUAAAUUUUACUUUUAAGUGAAAAGGCUUUAAUAAUAUAAAGUGAAGAUAAGACCCUAUAAAACUUUAUAUAAAUAUUGUCUUGUUCGUUGUAUUUGGUAAAAGACAAUAAGGCUAGAUUAUAUUUUGUUGGGGCGACAGGAAUAGAAUUUAAGUAUCUGUUUUCAUAAUGAGUUAGUAAUGGUUAAUUUAAUGAUCCUCUAGUAGAGAUUAAAAGACUAAGUUACUUUAGGGAUAACAGCGUAAUUUUCUUUGAGAGUUCUUAUCGACAAGAGUAGUUGCGACCUCGAUGUUGAAUUAAAAUUAUUCUGAUAAAUGCAGUAGUUUAUAUAGUAAGUCUGUUCGACUUUUAAAAUUUU
Molecule: ribosomal RNA, 412 nt
Filed under: Eupontonia nudirostris
Lineage: Eukaryota; Metazoa; Arthropoda; Malacostraca; Decapoda; Palaemonidae
Description: partial large subunit ribosomal RNA
Rfam family: Bacterial large subunit ribosomal RNA (bases 287-412)
Source: RNAcentral